Molecule: non-coding RNA, 160 nt
Organism: Macaca mulatta (Rhesus monkey)
Lineage: Eukaryota; Metazoa; Chordata; Mammalia; Primates; Cercopithecidae
Source: Rfam
AUCACUCCUCAGCCUUUUGGCUAAGAUCAAGUGCAGUAUUUGUUUUUAUCAGUUUAAAGCACAUAACUGGAAAAUCUCCAACAUCAGAAAUUAGGGGCUAAUGAUACAUAUGCAAAUAGAAAAAUGGAUACAAAUUAAAUGCAAAGCUAAAUGAUUCUUU